Non-coding RNA from Labrus bergylta (ballan wrasse), 143 nucleotides. The record is from RefSeq and is a predicted model, not a curated record. Lineage: Eukaryota; Metazoa; Chordata; Actinopteri; Labriformes; Labridae.
CCGAACAAGGAGAGUGUCAGCACUUUGACAACCUCAGUUUCUAUUGUAACUUCACCUGCUGAUCAAGGUAUUGUAGAGAAAGAGUCCAGAUGGACCCAGAGGACGCCAUCACUCAUCACAACCACAGGUCUGCCUACAAGUAG